Molecule: ribosomal RNA, 639 nt
Filed under: Triticum aestivum (bread wheat)
Lineage: Eukaryota; Viridiplantae; Streptophyta; Magnoliopsida; Poales; Poaceae
Description: partial small subunit ribosomal RNA
Source: RNAcentral
AUGGAAUUAAGAUUUCCCAGGUUUAGCCAAGGCUUAGCUCAGGACCCCACUACUCGUCGUAUUUGGUUUGGUAUUGCUACCGCACAUGAUUUCGAAAGUCAUGAUGAUAUUACUGAAGAACGUCUUUAUCAGAACAUUUUUGGUUCUCACUUUGGGCAAUUAGCAAUAAUCUAUCUAUGGACAUCCGAAAAUCUGUUUCAUGUAGCUUGGCAAGGAAAUUUUGAAUCAUGGAUACAUGAUCCUUUACACGUAAGACCUAUUGCUCAUGCAAUUUGGGAUCCUCAUUUUGGUCAACCCGCUGUGGAAGCCUUUACUCGAGGAGGUGUUGCUGGUCCAGUAAAUAUUGCUUAUUCUGGAGUUUAUCAGUGGUGGUAUACAAUAGGAUUACGCACCAAUGAGGAUCUUUAUACUGGAGCUCUUUUUCUAUUAUUUCUUUCUACGUUGUCCUUAAUAGCGGGUUGGUUACAUCUACAACCCAAAUGGAAACCAAGCCUUUCAUGGUUCAAAAAUGCAGAAUCCCGUCUCGAUCAUCAUUUGUUAGGACUUUUCGGGGUAAGUUCUUUGGCUUGGACAGGACAUCUAGUUCAUGUUGCUAUUCCCGCAUCCAGGGGGAGUACGUUCGAUGGAAUAAUUUCUUAG